Molecule: ribosomal RNA, 590 nt
Filed under: Hanseniaspora uvarum
Lineage: Eukaryota; Fungi; Ascomycota; Saccharomycetes; Saccharomycodales; Saccharomycodaceae
Description: eukaryotic LSU rRNA
Rfam family: Eukaryotic large subunit ribosomal RNA
Source: RNAcentral
UGCGGAGGAAAAGAAACCAACUGGGAUUACCUUAGUAACGGCGAGUGAAGCGGUAAAAGCUCAAAUUUGAAAUCUGGUACUUUCAGUGCCCGAGUUGUAAUUUGUAGAAUUUGUCUUUGAUUAGGUCCUUGUCUAUGUUCCUUGGAACAGGACGUCAUAGAGGGUGAGAAUCCCGUUUGGCGAGGAUACCUUUUCUCUGUAAGACUUUUUCGAAGAGUCGAGUUGUUUGGGAAUGCAGCUCAAAGUGGGUGGUAAAUUCCAUCUAAAGCUAAAUAUUGGCGAGAGACCGAUAGCGAACAAGUACAGUGAUGGAAAGAUGAAAAGAACUUUGAAAAGAGAGUGAAAAAGUACGUGAAAUUGUUGAAAGGGAAGGGCAUUUGAUCAGACAUGGUGUUUUUUGCAUGCACUCGCCUCUCGUGGGCUUGGGCCUCUCAAAAAUUUCACUGGGCCAACAUCAAUUCUGGCAGCAGGAUAAAUCAUUAAGAAUGUAGCUACUUCGGUAGUGUUAUAGCUUUUUGGAAUACUGUUAGCCGGGAUUGAGGACUGCGCUUCGGCAAGGAUGUUGGCAUAAUGGUUAAAUGCCGCCCGUC